GGGCGUAUAGCUCAGUUGGUUAGAGCGCGUGCCUCACAUGCACGAGGUCUCUGGUUCAAGUCCAGAUACGCCCA
This 74-nucleotide transfer RNA is filed under the name Pseudomonadota bacterium. RNAcentral describes it as "tRNA-Val". It matches the Rfam family "tRNA". From Rfam's summary of the family: Transfer RNA (tRNA) molecules are approximately 80 nucleotides in length. Their secondary structure includes four short double-helical elements and three loops (D, anti-codon, and T loops). The record is from RNAcentral. RNAcentral also lists the same sequence under 1 other name. Lineage: Bacteria; Pseudomonadati; Pseudomonadota.